Molecule: ribosomal RNA, 868 nt
Filed under: Cortinarius mascardiensis
Lineage: Eukaryota; Fungi; Basidiomycota; Agaricomycetes; Agaricales; Cortinariaceae
Description: partial 28S ribosomal RNA
Rfam family: Eukaryotic large subunit ribosomal RNA
Source: RNAcentral
AGGAUUCCCCUAGUAACUGCGAGUGAAGCGGGAAAAGCUCAAAUUUAAAAUCUGAUAGUCGUCGUCGACUGUCCGAGUUGUAAUCUAGAGAAGUGUUAUCCGCGCUGGACCGUGUACAAGUCUCCUGGAAUGGAGCGUCACAGAGGGUGAGAAUCCCGUCUUUGACACGGACUGCCAGGGCUUUGUGAUGCGCUCUCAAAGAGUCGAGUUGUUUGGGAAUGCAGCUCAAAAUGGGUGGUAAAUUCCAUCUAAAGCUAAAUAUUGGCGAGAGACCGAUAGCGAACAAGUACCGUGAGGGAAAGAUGAAAAGAACUUUGGAAAGAGAGUUAAACAGUACGUGAAAUUGCUGAAAGGGAAACGCUUGAAGUCAGUCGCGUUGUCCAGGGAUCAAUCUUGCUUUUGCUUGGUGCACUUUCUGGUUGACGGGUCAGCAUCAAUUUUGACUAUUGGAAAAAGAUUAGGGGAAUGUGGCAUCUUCGGAUGUGUUAUAGCCCUUGGUUGCAUACAAUGGUUGGGAUUGAGGAACUCAGCACGCCGCAAGGCCGGGUUUUUAACCACGUACGUGCUUAGGAUGCUGGCAUAAUGGCUUUAAUCGACCCGUCUUGAAACACGGACCAAGGAGUCUAACAUGCCUGCGAGUGUUUGGGUGGAAAACCCGAGCGCGUAAUGAAAGUGAAAGUUGAGAUCCCUGUCGUGGGGAGCAUCGACGCCCGGACCAGACCUUUUGUGACGGUUCCGCGGUAGAGCAUGUAUGUUGGGACCCGAAAGAUGGUGAACUAUGCCUGAAUAGGGUGAAGCCAGAGGAAACUCUGGUGGAGGCUCGUAGCGAUUCUGACGUGCAAAUCGAUCGUCAAAUUUGGGUAUAGGG